Non-coding RNA from Lolium perenne, 3641 nucleotides. NCBI's taxonomy places the organism in Eukaryota, Viridiplantae, Streptophyta, Magnoliopsida, Poales, Poaceae. The record is from RefSeq and is a predicted model, not a curated record.
UCCCAGGGACAGAAACCCUAGCCCAUUUCCCCCAAUCCCCACGCGAGCUUGGUCCUGGCCAAUGGCGGCGCCAGACCCCAAUCACCUCGCACGCUUCGUCCUCCCCAAUCCCCCUCCUUCCGCUCCACCAAUCGCUCAUGCUCUCCUCCCUCUUUGCGUCGGCAGCUCCGUGCUCUCUCCUACCACUCCAUGGCACAGCGUCCCCGUCCUUGUUCGUUGGUAUGCGGGAGGCGGAGGGACGGAGAAGGCAGGCAGUGCUCGUCCCUUGGCAACCAGAGCUGGUUGCGGAUGGAGGUGCAGCGGUGGGGCGGAGACCAGGAGCAGGCCUCAAGAGCAGCGCAGCCCACGACCAUGCGCCGUGCCCUCGCCAAUAGGACUGGUUGUUGGCCGACGGGAGAGCACAUCACGCUGCUCACCCCACUCUGCUUCUUCCUCAUCUCCUUGCUCAACGGGAGGAAAACGAGCAGCCGCCAAACCCCUACCAGAGUGAGACGAGUGAGGGAGAUGGAAAAGGAAAAAACAAAGGGUCAGGGAGAUGGAAGAGGAUGCAAGAAAGAACUCAGAUCUAAUCCAACAAGAGAAGCAUGGCCACUGCACCUUGUGAGUUCUUGUUCGGGUGAUUGGCUGCUGAUAGUGAGGGAGAUUGGAAGGGGAAGAAGAAUUGAGUAUGUUACAAGGCCUUCUAAUUUCCAGAAAUUCUAUCCGUUUGCAUUCCGUUAUUUCCCCACAGUGUUCUAGGUACAAGAAACGAUUAAGAAAGAUGUAGAAGAGGAUGCAGAGCAAGGGAGAGUAAGGCACACAUUUUUUGUACCUAAUGACACUGGCGCUUUCUUCUACCUGAUGACAGUGAUGCUUUUGAUAUUUGUAUUGAGCAGAGGUGAAGAGGUCCUUGCAUUUAAUAAAGAUUCAGGUUUCUUCUUGCCUCUCCUAGUGAUGCCAGAGACAACAGUUCCGUACAUAAAUUAAUUUGUGCAUGUCAGAUUCUUUUGUUUAUACCUACAUGAUUGGGUUUGAUGGUUUGCUCUUUGCGGUGACUCCAAGUACACAAAAGCUCUUGGCGGUGACUCCAAGCACACAAUUGGAAAAUUGCAGGACUGGACUGGCUCAAAUAUUUUGGACACUGAAUAUUUUCCACUACAGAAAAUUCAGACAGUUAAGAUGCUCAUAUUAUAGCUACAAGAGAUGUAAAACACAUUGGCCUUGACCUGGAGCUUCUAGAGGGUUCCUGGUAAAUUGAACGACACAUCCAUGAUUUACUGGGAACCCUCUAGAAGACGUGGAUGUGUCAUUUAGGAUGCUUCGUUGCUCGUGGGAGUGUAAUACGCUUCAGAGUCUUGAUGAGGUAAUAACACGACUCUAAACUUGUGUAUGGAUGCAGCAUCAUGAGCUUACUGCUCGAGCACAGCCAUGGAUUGCGCCUUCAUCUGCGGCUCUGCGUUUGUGGCAUGGCUCAACGCCCACUCCUCCACUAAAGAUGCAGUGGGAAGUACAACAAUGCAAUAUUGUGUACACGGAGAAAGAGCAUCCGUCCUUGAUGGCAAAGAACUCAUGGUAUGUGCUUUAUUUUUACUAUUGUUCUGUUAAUAAUAGAACUCUAGAUUUAUCUCAAUUUAAAAUUAUCCAGCCUAGCUAGGGCCUCAAGUAACAACCUUUAGAUAUAGGAUUUUCACUUUUUUGUUUGUUUGUUAGGAUUAACAGGUCUAUGUUUUUAUAGGAAUAGGAACAUGAUUAGUUAAGGAUAAAGAAUCCUAGGAAUUGUACAGGCUGAAUUUGUAUUGCAGGUUGGAUCUGAAAAAAUAGUUCCUUUAAGAGGGUGAUAAUGGUUUCUGCAUCCUUAUUAUGCUUCAUGUCCUUCGUAUGAAAAAGAUACGGUCUCUGCCUUGCAUCAUCAUUUUUCUCAGAGUUUACGUAUUCGCUAUCCUUCAUUAAGGUGUUUUGAAUCAAUAGAAAUGGUGGACCCUAUGUCCUUUGUCCUCCUUGAUGCCAACCCCCAGUGGUGUAUUUUUUAUGUCUAAGAUUUCUAUAUGGUUAUUUUCUUGUUCAUAGGUAUGCUCACACGUCCCCUUUUUAUUUCUACUUUACCAUUGGGAUUAUCUACUCAUAGGUCCCCUCUUUAUUUCUACUUUACCCUUGCGAUUAUCUACAAGGACUAAGAAGUGAUGAUUUCUUGCCUUAUGACUAAUGAUAUGUAUCUAGGGUGCAGUUCAAGUGUCAGAAAGCUGAGGUGAGGUCUAAAUUAUUCAUAACCUCUGUAUUUAUAGCUACUUGUUUAUUAUUCAUGAUCAUUAAAUUAAAUUGGCCAACUUUUCUUUUAUUAAAUGUUAAGCAAGGUCCUAGAAAUGCGAUUUUGUAAUCAGGCUGUGAAGAAACUGAAAUGUGCUGCUUGAUGUUCUUUUUGUUCUUUGAUGCAAUAUAUAUGCUACUGCUGUUAUGUCAAGUUAGCCACAUCUAAGUGAUGUAUAUGUCAGUGUUUCUCUGGAUCAUAUAAUAUGUAGGUAGUUUUCUUUAGUCUUAUUUGUGCUUUGCACCUUUGUAAGUAUAUUGUACAGUAAAUGAUUUUUUUCUGUAUUCAGAUUUCUUAUUCUGCACUACAGUGAGUAUAGACUAAUUCUGCUUACGUAUAAACUUUUUAGAAAACUGAUUCUUCUACUUUGGACACUAUACUGCCUAAUCGUCUAAUCUGCAUUGCAGGUACAAGGUUGAGCCGAGAGAAUUUGAUUCAAUUAUAUUUGCAGACGUUUGACUGUAGAUAUUUAGUUUUCUACCUCCUACAACAGUCAAUGAAGUGCAGAGAUGCUUUUGCGAAUUAGACUCAACUACUGCUAUAUCAUGUUAGGCUCUGUGUUGUCAGUUUGUCACUCUGUAUUGUUGCAAUCAAUGUCCUGAAUGGCACCCUAAGUCUUGCGCACCUUUAUGUUACAUCUGAUGGCUGUGACCGGCUCACUUAGUAAUAAGCCAUGACCUCUAUGUGCUAAAUUUCUGCUUUCUUUUGGUGGUUUUGAUUUAGUUAUAUGAGCGCAUACAGAAAAUCUCAAUGGAUUGAUUUCCUGCUUCAGAAGAAAUUAACUGUUUGACUUAGUUAUAUGAGAGCAUACAGAAAAUCUCAAUGGAUUGCACUGCCUGCUUUUGUGAAUUUGAAGUUUGAAAGUUUGAAUUACUCAGACCACAAAUUCCAGAAAAUUGGAAUGGCCCUUCUGGUUGCUCCUUGAUGAUGCAGGCCUGACUUUAUGAAGACAAUCGCGUCUGGAAGAAUAGUUGUCCUGGCUUGAAGACCCGCAAAAGGAUAGAUUGAUUGUACCAUUGUCAAUCAGGAGAUUUUGCCCGUGUCUGUCAUUCUUCAACAGUCAAAGUUUUCUGAUGCAUAAAUAAAUUUGGAUUGAGAAACUGGUAAUCCCAUGUAAACCUAUCAUGGGAUGAUUCAUGUAUAUAUUUAGAAAUUGCAUACUAGAGGAAGGCUGCAGGGGGGUGUAUUUUGGCACGACUUUCUUGCCAAUACGGCUAGGGUAAAUUCUACAGGGAGACAUAGGAGGAAAUGUGUGCUAGAAAAUUGUGUCAGAGAUAAAAACGUUCUCCAUCAAAUUGGAAACAUCAUAGUUAUUUUCUUUUACUCAGAAAUAAGAAUUUUGAGUUAACUGAUAUAA